Molecule: transfer RNA, 74 nt
Filed under: Vallitalea pronyensis
Lineage: Bacteria; Bacillati; Bacillota; Clostridia; Lachnospirales; Vallitaleaceae
Rfam family: tRNA
About the family: Transfer RNA (tRNA) molecules are approximately 80 nucleotides in length.
Source: Rfam by way of RNAcentral
GUGCGCAUAGCUCAGCUGGAUAGAGCGUCUGACUACGGAUCAGAAGGCCGAGAGUUCGAAUCUUUCUGCGCACG